GAUGAAGAACGCAGCGAAAUGCGAUACGUAAUGUGAAUUGCAGAAUUCAGUGAAUCAUCGAAUCUUUGAACGCACCUUGCGCUCUUUGGUAUUCCGAAGAGCAUGCCUGUUUGAGUGUCAUGAAAAUAUCAACCUUGACUUGGGUUUUGUGCUCUAGUCUCGGCUUGGAAUUGGGUGCUUGCCGCUUUUACGAGCGGCUCACCUUAAAUGUAUUAGCUGGAUCUGUCUUUGAGACUUGGUUUGACUUGGCGUAAUAAGUAUUUCGCUAAGGACAUUCUUCGGAGUGGCCUCGUUUCUAGGACGCUUGUCCGCUUUCUAAUACAAGUUCCACCUCGUGGACAUGACUUUUUAUUAUCUGGCCUCAAAUCAGGUAGGACUACCCGCUGAACUUAAGCAUAUCAAUAAGCGGAGGA
This 413-nucleotide unclassified non-coding RNA is filed under the name soil metagenome. RNAcentral's name for it is "partial contains 5.8S ribosomal RNA, internal transcribed spacer 2, and large subunit ribosomal RNA". The stretch from base 1 to 120 matches the Rfam family "5.8S ribosomal RNA", at positions 35 to 154 of the family's 154-position model. The record is from RNAcentral.